RNAcentral lists this ribosomal RNA (497 nucleotides) under uncultured bacterium. Its description in RNAcentral is "partial 16S ribosomal RNA". It matches the Rfam family "Bacterial small subunit ribosomal RNA", at positions 28 to 507 of the family's 1533-position model. The record is from RNAcentral.
GAUGAACGCUGGCGGCGUGCCUAAUACAUGCAAGUCGAGCGAACAGAUGAGGAGCUUGCUCCUCUGACGUUAGCGGCGGACGGGUGAGUAACACGUGGAUAACCUACCUAUAAGACUGGGAUAACUUCGGGAAACCGGAGCUAAUACCGGAUAAUAUAUUGAACCGCAUGGUUCAAUAGUGAAAGACGGUUUUGCUGUCACUUAUAGAUGGAUCCGCGCCGCAUUAGCUAGUUGGUAAGGUAACGGCUUACCAAGGCAACGAUGCGUAGCCGACCUGAGAGGGUGAUCGGCCACACUGGAACUGAGACACGGUCCAGACUCCUACGGGAGGCAGCAGUAGGGAAUCUUCCGCAAAGGGCGAAAGCCUGACGGAGCAACGCCGCGUGAGUGAUGAAGGUCUUCGGAUCAUAAAACUCUGUUAUUAGGGAAGAACAAAUGUGUAAGUAACUAUGCACGUCUUGACGGUACCUAAUCAGAAAGCCACGGCUAACUACGUG